AGUGGCGAACGGGUGAGUAACACGUGGGCAACCUGCCCAAAAGAGGGGGAUAACACUUGGAAACAGGUGCUAAUACCGCAUAACCAUAGUUACCGCAUGGUAACUAUGUAAAAGGUGGCUAUGCUACCGCUUUUGGAUGGGCCCGCGGCGCAUUAGCUAGUUGGUGGGGUAAAGGCUUACCAAGGCAAUGAUGCGUAGCCGAACUGAGAGGUUGAUCGGCCACAUUGGGACUGAGACACGGCCCAAACUCCUACGGGAGGCAGCAG
Molecule: ribosomal RNA, 266 nt
Filed under: uncultured bacterium
Lineage: Bacteria
Description: partial 16S ribosomal RNA
Rfam family: Bacterial small subunit ribosomal RNA
Source: RNAcentral